AUUGAACGCUGGCGGCAGGCCUAACACAUGCAAGUCGAGCGGAUGAAGGGAGCUUGCUCCUGGAUUCAGCGGCGGACGGGUGAGUAAUGCCUAGGAAUCUGCCUGGUAGUGGGGGAUAACGUCCGGAAACGGGCGCUAAUACCGCAUACGUCCUGAGGGAGAAAGUGGGGGAUCUUCGGACCUCACGCUAUCAGAUGAGCCUAGGUCGGAUUAGCUAGUUGGUGGGGUAAAGGCCUACCAAGGCGACGAUCCGUAACUGGUCUGAGAGGAUGAUCAGUCACACUGGAACUGAGACACGGUCCAGACUCCUACGGGAGGCAGCAGUAGGGAAUAUUGGACAAUGGGCGAAAGCCUGAUCCAGCCAUGCCGCGUGUGUGAAGAAGGUCUUCGGAUUGUAAAGCUCUUUAAGUUGGGAGGAAGGGCAGUAAGUUAAUCCCUUGCUGUUUUGACGUUACCUACAGAAUAAGCCCCGGCUAACUUCGUG
RNAcentral lists this ribosomal RNA (484 nucleotides) under uncultured bacterium. RNAcentral's name for it is "partial 16S ribosomal RNA". It matches the Rfam family "Bacterial small subunit ribosomal RNA", at positions 30 to 507 of the family's 1533-position model. The record is from RNAcentral.